ACAAAUUUAGGUUCAUUUGCAGCAAAGUCUUUAAACACAAUAGAUUUCUUUUCAAUAAAUGGAGUAAAAUGAUUGGCAAUCGAAGCACAAGUUAAAAUCAUAAACAAGUAACACACAAUUUAUUCUUGAAAUACUUUUCCCCAAUAGGGCAAUACACAAUUUCAACUCAUGAAUAUGUGAGAGCUCAAAACAUGUUGGGAAUACUUACAAGACGUAUAAUUAGUUAGAACAACCACAUAUGGGCACUACUUGAGUUCAUAAGCUUUUAGGCAAUUUUAUUUUUGAAGUCGAUUUUGGAACAGUUGAAUCAAAGCUCAUUUCAUAAUCUUUCUCACAUCAUCUUAUUUCAUUGACACCAUUGGCCACAAGUAUAAUUUUCACUAUUGGCACGUUGGCCACACUUUAUACUCCCAAUUCACUUAUUUCACUUCCAACCAUAUUUAUAGAAUAUCAACAAUAAGACAUUUCCAAUCAAGACUUUAGGUACACAUAUGAGCAAUUGAGAGUCUUAAGCAUAUUGAGAUUUUCACACAAUUUGGCAUCAUAACCUUCAUUUGAAACCUGACUCAAAGACAUAGCAUUUUACUACACAUAUCAUUUUUUGAAUAUAUUCCCAAAGGAUAACAUAAUGUGAUAGGAACAUUCGUAACACGUUAUGAAUAUAUAAUUCUUGACUCUUUGCUUAUUCGGGACAAUCGAAUUUAUUGGGAACAUCUCGGAACAUAGAAUAAUGAACUUGAGACAACUAUACUUGAAACUUAUGGGAACAUCAUUGAAUUCAAUUCUAAGAGAGUAGUUUAGCCAACAUACCUCGCUUUGAGCUUUCCUUAAAUUACUAGACAUUCCGAAAAUCCUAGCAAUCCCAAUCUAGUUUGAGACAUAACAAAAUUGAACCAUAAUUAGGAAGAUAUUCGUGGUUUCAACUUAUUUGAGCAUUUUAUCAAACACUAGAUGUUCAAAUUGGUUACAGGUUUCUUCCACAAGAUUUCUUUCACUUCACAACCUAAUCUUUACCCAUUUAGGCUCAAAAAUGUUCCCACAAACCUUAUUGGUACAUGCAUGUAUACAGAAUACUCUCACACCCAAGAAUCAUACUCCCAAUCACCCAUCCUUUACCCCAAACUCGAAAUUGAAGACUAGGGUUAGAACCUUGCCUCUUGAGUGAAGAUCUUGUGAGAUUUUCUUGUUGUAUUUCAAAGCUUGGAAAGAUCUUGAUGAAUAAAGGACUUGAGUUUCUUCCUCUCUCUAGAACACUCUUACUUCUCUAUAAAAAUAUCAAGUAAUCCCCCAAAAAUAAACCCUUAGGCUAUAUAAAUGAAAUGGGAGUCGGGUUAUGAAAUUAGAAAAUCAAACCCUCAAAAAUUCGGACCGGGCUACAGACUAGGCUAGGCACGGUCUAUAGCGAGCUACGGACCAGGCUUCAUGAGCUCUGUAGCGAGCUAUAGACAAGGCUUCGCGGGCUCUGUAUCGAGCUAUAGACCAGGCUUCGCAAUGGAUAUAGCAUGGUCUAGCGCGCUAUAGACCUGACUUCACGAGGGUUAUAGCACGAUCACAUUCUUCUAACGUUUGGUAAUUUGAACAUAACUUCUUGUAGGAGUGUCCAAAUAACAAACGGUUUGAAGAGUUAGAAACUAGACUCAAAGGGAUUUAAUUUUAUACAUAGAUCACCUCCUAAGUCCUUAUAGUUUGGUAGCAACAUGCUUUUGAAGUAGGAUCUUGUGCGAAUUGAGACAUCUUUUCCACUUAAUGUAUCCAACUUGUUCCACACGAAUUCUUACCAUUCACAAAACUCCUUAUUAUGUUUCAACACACCUUAAACAUAUAUUUUUCAUUUCAAAAUUAUGUGGUUCUAUCCCAUGGGUCUCCUUUAAUACUCGAACACGUUAUUCCCAAAUACCGUUGGCGCACUUUAAAAUCUUCAAUCAUUAGAAAAAUUUUAAUGGGGCCUUAUAUUCUCCCCCGCUUAGGAUCAUUCGUCCUCGAAUGAGACGUAGAGUUCGUCCUCAAACACUUAAUAUAACACAUCUUUUCUCUUUCGCACAUCUCAAACUCCCAAAUUUGACAAACUUCCAAAUUUUUCAGAAAUUUUGACAGAGUUUCCUCUGUAUUCAGGCCUAUCCACGUGUCAGAGAAUCACCAAAAUCAGUCCUAACAACGUAUCGACAACUCCACAAAGCAUCACAACAUUAUAGGCAUCAUAUUAACUAGAGUGAUAUCUGGACAUGAUCUACACAUAUUUAAAUCAUAACACAUAAAAAGUACAUUUCGAUCCACAAUCAUUUGACUAUACACUCAAGUGAGAACAUUUUAUUUCCUUAACACUUUUGGCCCUCAAGGUGGCCUCCUCGACUUAUAGACUUCACCAUAACACAUUAACGGAGGCAAUCUCAACUCCCGGACUUUUCUAACAAGGAUAGCAAAUAGUUUCUCCUCAUAAUGCAAUUGUCCAUUAACUUCACCUUCUUAGAUAUAGACACAUGAAACACUGGGUAAACGGAGAACAAAAAUAGGGAAAUAUCAUACUCAUAGUUUGGCCUAUUUCCUUAGAGAUUUCAUAAGGCCUAAUGUGACUACACAUACUUUACAUUUAUUAACAAUUCACAUAGCAUCCUCAUGGAGAAAAUAUUGAGAAUAACCUAUUCACUUUCUUCAACUCUAAAUCUCUACGCCGAACACCCAAACUAAACCUUUGGCGACCUCCAACAAUUAGUCUAAGAUGUGCUAGCUUGAAUAUCACCAUGAAAUUUCCUAUCCUAUAUAUUUUAUCAUGGGAUGACGCUUCUUCUUUGACAUGUGACAUAUGGGAGGCAUAAUCGGAAGGAUAAAUACAUUAGCCUCAGUUAUUCUUGGAAGUCUAUGAGUCAUGAAAAGGACAACAACAACUGUUUCAUUCCAUAUGUGUCUUGCUCGGUAGUAGAAAGCCUCAAAGAGAAAUGUCCAAGUACAUGACACAAGUCGUCUCCUGGAGUGUAGGGAAAAUCAGUUCAACUUGAAAUGAGAAUAUUUUGGCACCCCGAAUGUGAUAUGGGUUUCAAAAUGCAUGAAAUUGCAUUACGGUCUUAACAUUAACUGACACAAGCCCAUGGGGAUAAAAAAGAAGUUGAACACUUGUGAGAUUAUUGUCAUUCUCACAACUUAACCUUUGCCAAUAGUUGAUCCUAUAUGAGAGGACUAGAUAUAUGGCGAAUUUGUGAAAAUCUCAAAUGUCCCAGAAACGUUUAUGCGGACAAAUGACCCCUUUCAAUUGACAACUACACAUAUGAUAGGUGUUGAGAUAUGAUCUUAUGUUACUAUACGGUGAAAAGGAUUCAUGAUAAUAUACACAAAGGAAAAAAGUUAUUGCUCAAACCAUAGGAGCCACAUACACCGGAGAGAAAAACAUUGGCUCAAAAAGGAUCUCAACACUAGGUUGCUUUACAUUGGAUUUGAUACCACAUAGGUAAACUUUAUGGUUGUGCAUGCAUAAGCACAAGUGAGCAGAUGUUAUCUAUUUUAAUCAAAACGUUCUGUAAGAAAUUCAUCAGGUAUAGUCCUUUGUUGAGAAUUUAGGGAAGCAAGUGGGAAGUAUUAGGCCUAGAGUUAUAACUCAAUUUAAAAGACAUAAUUAAAGAGCUCAAUUCCAUAAAAGGUUGUAAAUAAGAGUAUUUGUGAUAGAGUGGCUUCACGAAUAAUGCGUCUCGUUCAGAAAAUAAGUGUCACAGCCCAAACCGAUGGGCCGCGAUGGGCACCCGAUGCCUUACCUAACCGAGCACCAAUGUAACAUAUCUUUCUUAUCAUGCCACCAUGGGUAAAUGGUUUAGAUGGGCCCUCAUGAGAUAACCAGAAUAAAACAUAAGGGAAUACUAAAUGUAGGAUGACUCACCAUGAUAUAGAAACUUGUACAUGUGACAUACAGGCCUAUAAGGCCGACAUGAUCAUUUGUCUACUCAAAACAUAGGCCGACAAGGCCAUACAAGUAUCAAUAUACAUGACAUAUUUCUACAAGCCUCUACGAGUACAUAAAUGCCAUAAAGUUCGAGAUAUGGCCCUGCCAUACCAAUCAAUACAUGUACAAAUCAUACUGACCAGAUAGGCAACUCCGGAGCAAGUGGAGUGCACCAACACCUUUUGCUGAGCUGAUAGCCUACUAGGAGGGCUCUCAACCUAUCUAUCGGGACCUGCGGGCAUGAAACGCAGCGUCCCCGGGAAAAAGGGACAUUAGUACAAAUAAAGUACCUAGUAUGUAAGGCAUGAAAGUAGUAUAUAAAAGAAAUGAAAGAAACAUGGAUUAAAGAAUUAAACCUGUAAUUCUGAAUCGCUCUGUGAAUCAUGAAAAACUUAUAAUGUCAUGCAUGUGCGUAUAAAUAUCAUACCAUGCAUAGGUAUAUGCAUAAAUAAAAUCAUCAAGCCUCUGAGGGCAUUCCAUCAUAUCAUCUCAGCCACUAUGGGCGAAAUCAUCAACAUUUACCGGUUGAACAGGUGGUGGUGCGUAUAUAACUCCAUAACCUUUUCCCAUAUCCCAUAUACAUAUAAUAUACGGGUAUAUAAUGCCAUCUGGUCAUGGGUCAAUGUACAUGUAUAAAUGAAUACAAUGCAUAAUGAAGUACAUUAGUAAGAUUUCUCAGAAUGACAUAAGAUCAAUAAGAUCUCUCAAAUAAACUUUAUCAACUUAAAUUUUUUUUUUGAGACCCAUGAACAGAAUAUAUAAUAAUAAGAUGCAAGGGGAAUCAACAACAUAGACACUCAUAGUGCUUCUAUGAAUAGAGGUAUUUGUGAAAGUUGUGUGUUUGCUCGUUUUGUUUGUAUCGUAUGGAUCAUGCCAAAAGGAAAGAAGGGAUAGCCUUAAUAUACCUCAAGUCGUCAAUGCAACUCAACAAAAAGCUUAUGACAACUAGUGCGCCAACCCUAUAAUAAAUAAAUAUGUGUACAACUUAGAUGGCAGUGGUAUAUUACGUAUCUCAAAUGAUAUCUCGAUUCUAAAAUAAAACGGGCAGCAUUUCCCUUGAUUUCACUGCUCCCUCAAGCCUACUAUUGGCGAGAUACAAAUACAAUACAAUCAGCAACUCAAAAAUAACCCAACUACAAUUAGGGGCCUUCAACACAACAAAACCCCCAAAUAUAUCAUGACACACCCAAUCAAUAAGUUAUCAAUUAACCUGAAAUUGCAACGACGAGCGACCAUCCUACUACCCUACCACAUGUGGAGUUUCUCCAUGCCCUUCAUCCUUCCCAACUCCAUAAAUCUGCAGCACAAUAGUCCAACACGAGUGGACUACAAAACAGUCCACUAAAAGUGAAAUAAAUCGAACUCACGGCUUCCGAUCACCAUCCCGUGAAUUCUAACUUUUAGGAAAUGAAUUUAUCAACCUUCCUUGAUAUAUAAAAGCUUAAAUACAGAAAUCAUACGUUUUCCUAACUAUGAAGUACCUUUCGAAACUAAAACUACAAAGAAAAAGAGAGGCGAUAUAGCGAUACUUACGUCGUAGGGAUCGUUCUAAUGUUAUCACUUCUUGAUUUCGUACCCAGGCUGUUAAUCUUCUUUGAAACCCUAGAAGAGAGAUUAAGGAUAUGUUUAUGGGUGUUCUCUGGUCGUGUUCUAUGGAAAAAUGAAGAUAACAACGACCUAAGACCUUAAUAUAUCAAGUUUGGAAAAGUCAAAGAGGUGCUAGCUUGGCACCCUCUCAUUGGCCUAUCUUCUGACGCUUAUAUCGUUUUAUCCGGAUAUCAUAUGAACGAACGGUUAAGAGCAUUGGAAACUACAUUCCAAUACCUUCAAUUUUAUAUAUAAUAUGUCCCAAAAUAUAGCCCAUAUAGCACACUAAAUAUAUUUCUCAAAAAUCUCUGUUACAAGACAAAUCCUUAGUCGAUUUUUCCACAAGUUAAAUCCGACUUUUCCCAAACUUUAUAUUUUCUAUACAAACAUCAUAUAUAGUCAUAUUAUGACUUUAAACUUAUUUAAAUCACGAUUAACAAGUCUUAUAUUCAUUACGUCACUUUGGGACGCACAUGGUGUAGCAAUCCCCCCCCCCCCAGAAACAUUCGUCCUCGAAUGUUAAACUCCCAGAAAUCUAUAAACAUUCUGGUAGAGUCUCCUCUGUAACAAUACUACUAACAACAUGUCACACAUCAAACCCAACCAUAUAAAUCCACACAGGUCCACAAUCAUCAAUAACACCAAUGGCCUCACACGACCAAUAACAAUAACUAACACAAGAAUCAAGUAUCAUAUACGUACCUAAAGGCUGUGAUGUCUCUAUCCAAUCCUCCUCCGGAAGUGGAAACAAGUGAGGAUACAUAGUAUUAAUAAAGCCUUACAAUGUAUCGAGGGCUAAGCAUUCCUUUCUUAUCGAAUCUCGUAACGCCUUCCAUCGCUGAAACUUUUAGGAAUACAUAGUCGUCUACCAGAAACUCCAAGUCUCGUCGUUGAUUAUCUGCAUAAGACUUCUGAUGACUCUGAGCUCCUAAUAGUCUUUCCCUUAUAAUCUCAAUCUUCUCAACUGCCUGUUGUAUCAACUCUAGUCCUACUAACUUAGUUUCCCCAAUCUCGAACCAUCCGAUAAGAGACCUACACUUCCAUCUGUAUAGAUCUUCGAAUGGAGCCAUCUGAAUGUUGGAAUGAUAACUAUUAUUAUAUACGAACUCAAUAAGUGGAAGAUGAUCAUCCCAGCUACCCCUGAAGUCCAUCACACAAGCCCGUAGCAUAUUCUCCAGCGUCUGAAUAGUACGCUCAGCAUGACCAUCUAUCUGGGAUGAAAUGAUGUAUUAAGACUUACUUGAGUCCCCAAUCGUUCCGAAAAUUAGCUGUAAACUGAGCNNNNNNNNNNNNNNNNNNNNNNNNNNNNNNNNNNNNNNNNNNNNNNNNNNNNNNNNNNNNNNNNNNNNNNNNNNNNNNNNNNNNNNNNNNNNNNNNNNNNNNNNNNNNNNNNNNNNNNNNNNNNNNNNNNNNNNNNNNNNNNNNNNNNNNNNNNNNNNNNNNNNNNNNNNNNNNNNNNNNNNNNNNNNNNNNNNNNNNNNNNNNNNNNNNNNNNNNNNNNNNNNNNNNNNNNNNNNNNNNNNNNNNNNNNNNNNNNNNNNNNNNNNNNNNNNNNNNNNNNNNNNNNNNNNNNNNNNNNNNNNNNNNNNNNNNNNNNNNNNNNNNNNNNNNNNNNNNNNNNNNNNNNNNNNNNNNNNNNNNNNNNNNNNNNNNNNNNNNNNNNNNNNNNNNNNNNNNNNNNNNNNNNNNNNNNNNNNNNNNNNNNNNNNNNNNNNNNNNNNNNNNNNNNNNNNNNNNNNNNNNNNNNNNNNNNNNNNNNNNNNNNNNNNNNNNNNNNNNNNNNNNNNNNNNNNNNNNNNNNNNNNNNNNNNNNNNNNNNNNNNNNNNNNNNNNNNNNNNNNNNNNNAAGCCCGUAGCAUAUUCUCCAGCGUCUGAAUAGUACGCUCAGCAUGACCAUCUAUCUGGGAUGAAAUGAUGUAUUAAGACUUACUUGAGUCCCCAAUCGUUCCGAAAAUUAGCUGUAAACUGAGCACCUCUAUCUAAGAUAAUAGAUAUAGGGACACCAUGAAGUCGUAUUAUCUCCUUAAUGUAAAGCCUUGCAUAAUCCUCUGCUGAAUAAGUAGUCCUGACAGGCAGAAAAUGGGGUGAUUUUGUAAUUCUAUCAAUAAUAACCCAUAUAGAAUCGAACUAACGCUGGGUACGAGGUAAGCCUAUGAUUAAAUCCAUAUUAAUCACUUCCCAUUUCCAAGUCAGAAUCUCUAUAGCCUACCAUAAUCCACCGGGUUUCUGAUGCUCAAUCUUAACCUGCUGAUAAUUAGGCACUGAGAAACAAACUCUGCUAUAUCCUUCUUCAUUUUGUCCCACCAGUAUAUUUCCUCGAUAUCAUGAUACAUCUUUGUCGCUCCUGGAUGAAUAGAAUAACGAGAAUAGUGAGAUUCUCCCAAAACCUGUUGACGCAACCCUGCCACAUUAGGAACACAUAAUAAACCUCGAUAUCUGAGUAUUCCAUCUCAUGUAAUCUCAAAUGAUGUAUUCUUCUUUUGAGGUGAUGUAUCUCUGUAAUGAGCUAGCACAGGAUCCGCAUACUGGCGUUCCUUCUCUUCAGUUACUAAAGAGGAUAUUGUCGUGUCCUGAAUAGUAACUUCGGUAUCACCUGAGUCCAGUAAUCGAACUCCAAACUAGCUAGUUGAUGAAUCUCACGGGCUUUCCCACUCUUAUCUAACUGUAAAUAUUAUAGGCUACCCAUAGAUCUACGGCUGAGGGCAUCGGCUACUACAUUCGCCUUCCCCGGAUGGUAUAAAAUAUCAACAUCAUAGUCUUUUAGUAGCUCCAACCAUCUUCUUUGGUGUAAAUUCAAUUUCUUUUGCUUGAAGAAAUAUUGAAGGCUCUUAUGAUCCAUAUAGAUAUCAACAUGAAUGACAUACAAAUAGUGCCCAGACUCCGGAGGGGCUCCUACAAUCCAAGCGUUAUAAUCUGCACGGACAACUCACGUAUUGCACGGACAACUCACGUGCUAUAAUAUCAUAUCAUAAUUCGCACGGACAACUCACGUGCUGAGGUACAAUACCUCACCAACAGGCCCUCGGCCUCACUCAGUCAUAAACCUCUCUAGUCUCUCGGGCUCUCAGAAAUCAAAGAAAUCAACCCAAACAACAUUAACAUGAUGCAACAAAUAGAAUAAUAGAGACUGAGCUAUGAUGUAAGAAUGCAUGAACAUGACUGAGUACGGGAUAUCAACUAAAGCAGUGAGCGGACAACAAGAAAUGACCUCUAAGGGUCCAAACAAUACUGGCAUAAAGCCUAGACAUGGUAUCUAGCAUGAUUUACAGUAAAUCUUUCUAAAACACAUAAGGUGCAUAUAGCUACAACAGGUUGUUCAACUUUACAGUUGCUACGGGACGGACCAAGUCAUAAAUCCUCAAUGGUGCACGCCCACACGCCCGUCACCUAGCAUGUGCGUCACCUCCAAAUAGUCACAUGACACAAAUAUCCGAGGUUUCAUACCCUCAGGACUAGAUUUACAACCGUUACUUACCACAAUCCGAGCAAAUCUCUACUCUGCAAUGCCUUUUCCUCUCGAAUCAGCCUCCGAGCGUCCCGAAUCUAGCCACAAGCAUUACAAUACCAUUAAUAUAUUCUAAAUCAAUCAAUUCCACAAGAAAACUCCUAAAUUAGACACAAAACUCGAAAUCGACUCAAACCCGACACCCGGGCCCAAGUCUCGAAAUCCAACAAAAGUCAUAAAACCCGAAAGCCCAUCUACUCACGAGUCUAACCAUACAAAAUUCAUCAAAAUCCAACAUCAUUUGGUCCCUCAAAUCCUCAAAUUACACUCUCCAAAAUUCCAAUCCCUAAGCCCCGAAUUUCGCCCCUAAAUUCCACUAAUUAGAUGAUAAUACAAUGGGAAAACACCAUAGAUACGAGUAUUAGAGCCCAAGCAACUUACCUCUUUGAAAACCCUUGAAUCUCCCUUCAAAGAUCACUCCAAAAGCUCCAAACACCGACUUGAAAAUGGUGGAAAUGAACCAAAAUUCACGAAGUGUUACAUUUAUAUUUUCUGCCCAGGUCUUUCGCACCUGCGGCUAAAUAUGCGCACUUGUGGUACCGCAUCUGUGCAAGAACCGCCACACCUGCGGAAAAUCAUUAAAACCCCCAACUUCGCACCUGCGCUCCAUAUCUGCAUCUGCGACCACACAGGUGCGGAAAAGACCUCGCACCUACGGCCACUGCCUGUCCUCCUCACUUUCGCUUCCGCAUGCACCAAUCCGCAUUUACGACCUCUCCUAUGCACCUACGGACCCAGUCUACCUCAACACUGUUCGCUGCGAACUCCCACGCGUGCCUGCGACCUCGCAGGUGCGGGAACUUCAUCGCACCUGCGCCUUCUGCCCAGCUCCUCCAAUCUCACAUCUGUGAUCUCCUGCUCUCUUCUGCAGGCUCGCACCUGCGAUGAGACAUCAGCAAGUGCGAUUAUGACAGCUAAGCUCGACUUUAACAAUUCCUCCAAUUUCCAAACUUGUUCCGUUAAUCACCCGAAAUCUCUCCGAGGCCCACGAGAUCUCAACCAAACAUACUAACAUAACCCACAACAUCAUACGAACUUAGAAAAAUCAUCAAAUCACUCAAAACAAUAUCAAAAUAUCAAAUUACACUCGGAUUCGAGCCUAAGGACUUCUAAACUUACGAAUUCCACCAACGAUGCCGAAACCUGCUAAACCACGUCCGAAUGAUCUCAAAUUAUACACACAAGUCAAAUAUAACACCACGAACCUAUUCCAACUUCCGGAAUUCCAUUCCGACCCCGAUAUCAAAAUUUCCACUACCGACCAAAAUCUCUAAAAUUUUAACUUUCGUCAAUUCAAGCCUAAUUAUACCACGGGCCUCCAAAUCUCAUUUCGAGUGUGCUCCCAAGUCCAAAAUCACCUAACGAAACCAUCAAAAUUCAAAUCCGAGGUUGUUUACACAUAAGUCAACAUCCGGUUGACUGUUCCAACUUAAGCUUCUACUUUAGAGACUAAGUGUCUCAAUUCACUCUGAAACUACUCUGGACCCGAACCAACUAACCCGAUAUAUCAUAAUAUAGCUGAAAAGCACAAAAGAAAGCAAAAAUAGGGAAAACGGGGCUAUAACUCACGAAACGACCGGCUGGGUCGUUACUCGAUAUGUCCGCAUCUACGGUGUUCAUCAGGGGUUUCAAAUCUGCAUGGACAGCUCACGGACCCAAGCGCUAUAAUCUACACGGACAGCUCACAUGUUGCACAGACAACUCACGUGCUAUAAUAUCAUAUCAGAAUCAAAGAAAUCAACCCAAACAAUAUUAACAUGAUGCAACAAAUAGAAUUACAGAGACUGAGCUAUGAUAUAAGAAUGCAUGAACAUGAUUGAGUACGGGAUAUCAACUAAAGAAGUGAGCGGACAACAAGAAACGACCUCUAAGGGUCCAAACAAUACUGGCAUAAAGCCUAGAUAUGGUAUCUAGCUUGAUUUACAGUAAAUCUUUCUAAAACACAUACCCUCAGGACUAGAUUUACAACCGUUACCUACCUCAAUCCGAGCAGAUCUCUACUCUACAAUGCCUUUUCCUCUCGAAUCGACCUCCGAACAACCCGAAUCUAGCCACAAGCAGUACAAUACCAUUAAUAUAUUCUAAAGGAAUCAAUUCCACAAGAAAACUACUAAAUUAGACUCAAAACUCGAAAUUGACUCAAACCCGACUCCCGGGCCCACGUCUUGAAAUCCAACAAAUGUCAUAAAACCCGAAAGCCCAUCCACUCACGAGUCUAACCAUACAAAAUUCAUCAAAAUCCGACAUCAUUUGGUCCCUCAAAUCCUCAAAUUACACUAUAAUCCCAAGCCCUAACCCCCAAUUUUCACCCCUAAAUUCCACUAAUUAGAUGAUAAUACAAUGGGAAAACACCAUAGAUAUGAGUAUUAGAGCCCAAGCAACUUACCUCAUUGAAAACCCUUGAAUAUCCCUUCAAAGAUCACUCCAAAAGCUCCAAACACCGACUUGAAAAUGGUGGAAAUUAACCAAAAUUUGCGAAGUGUUACAUUUAUAGUUUCUGCCCAGGUCUUUCGUACCUGCGGCUAAAUAUGCGCACUUGCGGUGCCGCAUCUCCGCAAGAAACUCCACACUUGUGAAAAAUUAUUAAAAUCCCCAACUUCGCACUUGCGCUCCAUAUCCGCAUCUGUGACCACGCAGGUGCGGAAAAGACCUCGCACCUGCGGCCACUGCCUGUCCUCCUCACUUCCGCUUCUGCAUGUACCAAUCCGCAUUUGCGACCUCUCUUAUGCACCUACGGACCCAGCCUACCUCAACACUAUUCGCUGAAAACUCCCACGCACGCCUGCGACCUCGCAGGUGCGGGAACUUCAUCGCACCUGCGCCUUCUUCCCAGCUCCUCUAAUCUCGCAUCUGCGAUCUCCCGCUCUCUUCUGCGGGCUCGCACCUGCGAUGAGACAUCCGCAAGUGCAAUUAUGACAUUUGAGCUCAACUUCAGCAAUUCCUCCAAUUUCCAAACUUGUUCCGUUAAUCACCCAUAAUCACCCCGAGGACCUCGAGACCUCAACCAAACAUACCAACAUAACCCACAAUAUCAUACGAACUUAGAAAAAUUAUUAAAUCACUCAAAACAAUAUCAAAAUACCAAAUUACACUUGGAUUCAAGCCUAAGGACUUCUAAACUUUCGAAUUCCACCAACGAUGCCGAAACCCGCUAAACCACAUACGAAUGAUCUCAAAUUAUACACACAAGUCAAAAAUAACACCACGAACCUAUUCCAACUUUUGAAAUUCCAUUCCGACCCCGAUAUCAAAAAUUUCACUACCGACCAAAAUUGCCAAAAUUUUAACUUUCGUUAAUUCAAGCCUAAUUAUACCACGGGCCUCCAAAUCUCAUUUCGAACGCGCUCCCAAGUCCAAAAUAACCUAACGGAGCUAACGGAACCAUCAAAAUUCAAAUCCAAGCUCAUUUACAUAUAAGUUAAUGUCUAGUUGACUUUUCAAAUUUAAGAUUCUACUUUAGAGACUAAGUGUCUCAAUUCACUCUGAAACCACUCUGGACCCGAACCAACUAACCCGAUAUAUCAUAAUAUAGCUGAAAAGCACAAAAGGAAGCAGAAAUGGAGAAAACGAGGCUAUAACUCUCGAAACGACUGGCCGGAUCGUUACUCGAUAUGUCCGCUUCUGCGGUGUUCAUCAGGGGUUUCAAAUAACCCCAGAAACUACUUAAAAGUUGUUGUUCCAAACAUGAUUUUGGCACAAAAUUUAUACUCAAGACUUCUAAAUUUUUGCACUGUAUGAUUACAUAACUUGAUUAAACCUUAUUUUAAGGUACUUCGCAACCAAAAUUCUCUUAGACAAUUUAUCGAACACAUAAUGUUCACUGAGUGGUUUUUGAUUCUUUUAAACAAUUUGGUACUUAGACUUCCCAAAUUCUUUUCAACAAUAACAGCACACACAACUACACUCAACCAAUUUCCUCAACCCUAAUAUUAACAUUAAUCAAACAAAAAUGGGGAACUUAUGGUCUAUGGCCAUGGAAAAUCAGAGAUGAAGAAGAAAGAGAAAAUAAGAGUAGAAGAGAAAUGUAGAAUAGAGGGCUGAAGAUGAUACAUGUAACGCCUGUGUAUGAUAGCAGGGGAUUGCACGAGCAGAAUUUGAGUGAGAGAUGAGAGGUUUGAGUUUGGGGAAACGUUUUUUGUGUUACCUAUAGGAGAGUCACUGUCAUGCCCCAAACCUGGGGAGGCGUGGUUGGCACCCGGUGCCGUGCUGGCCCGAGCGAACCACUUUGUAACUCAUGAUCGUUCGACCAAAACUAGAACAUACAUAGGUCAAGUUAACUGAACUCAUUCCUUUUGUAACUAUCAUUAGGCAUGUAAGAGAAUUAUCACUUAUUAUGCUAAGCCAGACACAUAGGAAUGUUUUGAAAAAAUAUUUAUAACUAAUUGCAAAAAUGUAAACUAAUCUAGAAAUCAAGUAAAAUGAUCAAUGGCUUCAGGCAUGGAUGCAUUAGGAAUUUACACUCAAGUAACGAUCCAAUAUAUUUCACGAUUUUACAAAUAUGAGCGAGUUUAUUAUUAAUUAGCCUCUGGUAAUAAUUCUAUAUUAGCUUCUUCCGAUGACUAAUAAGACUUUCUAAUUUAAUUAUCCCUAAAACUAUUAAGAGAUUAAGCACACCCAAAUAUAGCUCCAAGUAGUUCAAUCCUAUCCCUAAGUAGAAUCUAUAAAGUGAGGGUUAAGGCCUCAAGUUCUUGUUAACUAUUCUUUCCCAACCCCGAAUUAUUUUUCCCAAAAUUAAUUCAAAGUGAAUGGGCGAGUCCUAGGGUUAGCUAAUCCCGUUAGAAACAUUUAAUAACAUGAAUAAUUAAAGAAACAAUAACUCACUUCACAAUAAAUAAAAAUCAUUCAAUACAUAAGCAUAACAUGGUAUUUAAUCCACACUUUAAAUAUGAAUAUUCCCAUAAACAGGAUUUAAGUGCUGGAAAAAAUACUAUACACUUAGAUAUUCAAUAGAAAGCAAGGAAAUGAAGAAUUGAAUAUAAAUGGGUAAGAAAUUCUCAACCAAAAGCUCCAAAUCUUCAAGACCCAAGUAUGUGUGCAACAAUCCUAACUCCAAAAAUUGAUAAAAGCUGCCCAAGAUGUGCAGAGACUGUCAAAGGUUGCCAAAGAUGCCAAAGAUCUGUUUUCAAUUAGCUAGGUUGUGUAUUUGUGGGUUUGGAAUGAAAAAAAUAUAAAAUGACAUAAGUGUCCAGGUCUGAAGCCCGUUGACCGCACUUGCGAAAGAAUCCUCGCAGGUGCGGUUCCGCAGAUGCGGAUGCCUGCUCGCAGAAGCGAUGAUGGUAGAAAAUUGAUGUUCCAUAGAAGCGGUCCAAAGCACGCAAUAGCAUGUCCGCAUAAAUGGCCUUUAAGCGCAUAUGCGAGCAUUUACACGUAAAAGCGGUUCUCUACUCGUAGGUGCAAGUUCUAUCUUGCAUGCAUUAUUCCGCAUCUGCGGACCAGUUCUCGUAGAUGUGAGAUCGCAGAUGUGGACUGGUCUUCACUGAAGUGAUUUCAUUGGAAUGUUUUGCACUUCUUUCAUUCUUUUUGCACGAUUCCACUUCAUUUAAUUUCAGUUCUCUUCGAGACUUCAACUAUCUGAAAAUCUAGCAAUGCACACCAUAAAUCACCUCAUUUUAUAAUUAAAGGACGCAAAAACUAAAGAAAGUUGACUAGAAUAAGUGGUAAAAUCACCACUUAUCAUAGAAUAAUUACAAUAAAAAGAGAUGUGUAAUGGUCUCAUUCUGCUCUUUACACAAGCUACAUUCCUACUUAGUUUUAAUACCCUAUUUUGUCAGCCAAUCUUUGGUAUUCAACUUACCAUUUGCAGUCAUGUUUAGAAUGAACAACCACUUUGGAGAAGUAUAGUUGUUACAAGUCAAUUUCUUUCAUGGAACCUUUGCAACAAUAACACAUAAUAGCUGGUACAUUGUCUUUAUAGAGAAAUUCUAGAUAUGCCUCAAUUCUUCUACAUCAAUACCAGUAUCUUUGAUGUAUUGCUUUGAUUUCAAGAUUUUCAAUAAAACCUAGGAGUCAUGUUUAAGUUCAAUAUCUCAAAUCUCUCUCUUAUUACCAUGGUAUAUAUAGACCCAUUAAGCCCAAAACUUGUCUUUCUUCCUCUAUAAGGUCCGCAAUAACUUGCAUAUAACUGAUCUAUUCCAUAAUCCCAUAUUCAUAAUAUUGUAACCCCCUGCUGAUUUUGGCCAACAUACUUUAUGCCAAAGCUGUCAAGGCUUUUUUUGACAAUUCAGCACCUCUAGUCCAUAAUAAGGUCCUACUGGUUGCUUCAAUCAAGUGAAUGACCUUUUUGGUAGAAUAAAAUUUUGGUACCAAAAGGUUUGUAUGGAGAAUAUGACAUUCUUUAUUAAUUAAACUCUCCCCGCAUAGGACAAGUGUCUAGCAACCCAGAAUCACUCUACCCAGCAUCUUGUCUACCAAAGAUUAACAUUGCAUCAUGGAUAAUGGUUUAGUGCUCAAAGGACACUAAGGUAUCUAAUAGGUAGCUCCUCAUUUAUAAAUCCAAGAAAAUUUAGUAUCUCUAUCAACACCUCCAAAAUACACUAAGCUCUUAUAAAGAUUUUCUCAUAGUCUUGAAGCCUCAUAGAAACAAUUAAAGAAAUAAAAAGAAGUUGAGCUGAAAUAACAUCCCCUAUACUGAACAUGAGGAGAUAAUCAUCAAACCCAAGCUGUAUAAUCUACAAUUGUAAUAACACCGGCCGGUCGUUUCGAGCUUUUAUGAUUCGUUCGGUAGUUUGAGACUUUAAGUAGCUUCAUAUAAUGUACUAUGACUUGCGUGUAUAGUCGGUUAUUGUUUUCGAGUGGUUCGAGGUUGAUUUGGAAGAAUGAAUCUCAAUUUGAAAGCUUUAAGUUAGAAGAUGUGACCAAGGUUUUACAUUUUGCUAAACAUGCUCAGAAUCGAGUUUGUAUGAUUCCGAUAGGUUUGUAUGAUGAUUUUGGACUUGUACUUAUGUUCGGAUCCAAUAUUGGAGGUUCCUAGAAGAAUUGGGAACUAUUUGUUGAAAGUUAAUAAUUUGAAGAACUUAAGAGUUCAUAAGUUUGACCAAGAGUUGACUUUGAUGUUAUUGAACUCCAAUUGGUGUUCCGAGACUUUGGAUAGGUCCAUAUAAUUUAAUUGAACUUGUGCAUUAAGUUUGGAUGUAAUCUGAAGUGUGUAUGCAUAAUUCGAACACUCUUUUGAUGGAAUGAAGAUUUAACAACUUAAGAGAAAUUAUAUUCGGUUUGAGCCUCGAUUCUUUGUUGUGAUGUUCCCAUGGGUUUUAUAGCCUACAGAUGAGUUUUGAUAAUGUAUUUGUACUUGUUGGUAUUAUUUGAUGGGAUCCCGAGGGGCCUGGGUCUGUUUUAGAUCAUUGGUUGAGAGACUAGUUAAGUUAAGGAUUUGAAGUUUGAGCACGGCCAAUAUCGGGUUAAGACGACCUCUUUUCAGUGUUUUGAGUGCGCGAGCAGAUUUGUAGCGUAUUUUAUGAUUGAAAUGCAUAUAUGGUUUGUGUCAGGGAGGUUCUGAAUGAGUUUUGGAUGAUAAAAUAAAGUGUUUGCCGUUGCUAAGUUUUCUAGUGUAAACAAUUCCGAAAUAUUAGAUUAUGUCACUAAAAAUUUUAGACUUCCUUUGAAACUUCAAAACAUUAUAUCUCCCUCAUUUUUAGCCAAAUUAGGUAAUUCAAAAGGCUAUUUUGGGUGUAAUCUUGUAAGGAUUAUGUUGUGAUUAUCAAAUGUGAGUUUCCGGAUCAUCUAAGAUCUGAUUCGGGAUGGGACACCUGCUACAUUUUUACUUGUUUCAGAAUUUAGUUACUUUUCUCGCAAGGUUUUGGAGCUCGGGAAGAGGCAAUAUUUGACGGAGCUUUUCAUCUACAUCAUUUGGUUAAGUAAUCCUAACUCGAAUUCAUGAUUAUAAAAUGAAUAUAUCAUUAAUAUUUUCUCUAAAUCAAGGAAUCUUAAGGAAGAAAAGAGGGUUUUGGCUUGAAGGAUAAGAAAGCGCAAUUUGGGAGUUUUAACAAAACUUUUCUAAAGUGAAUAAUUGAGUUUUAAAUGUCGUUUUGGAGUCGGAAUUGAGUGAAACUAAUAUGGUUGGAUCAUAUUCGAGCAGUUUAUCGUAAUUUGUGGUUUUUGUCGGAUUCCGAGACGCGGGCCUGGGUUGACUUUCUAGUUGUCUUUGAGUAUUUGAUUAAAGAUUCGAUAUUUAUCGUUUAGGUUUGUUUCCUAUGGUGUUAUUUGAUAUUUUUGAGUUGAUUUUGGCUAAAUUCGAGCCGCUCGGAUAUCGAUUCACGUGGGAUGGCAUUUUAGACUAUUGUUUUGGCUUGUGUGAGGUAAGUGUCUUGCCUAGCUUUGUUGAAGAAAUAUUUUUCUAAUAAAAUGAUAUUGUUUGCGAUAUACGAGUGUGAUGUAUAUGCAAGGUAAUGAGCAUAUAUGCAAGUACCCGGGUUAUCCAUGCUUGGGGGUAGAUUAUAUGAUGAUUUGUACCUUAUUGGACUUUGUGAAUUUCUUGCCUCAUGUUUCACUUGACUUCUAUAAUAGUAUGAGCAAAAUUUCAAUGCUAUAGACCAUACUUCAGCCUACUACAACUUGAUUAAAUGUAAUGGACCCUUUGUGAAACUGUUGAUGUACUAAAUUCGGUCAUAACUAUACCUAAAACACGAAUACAUUGUUAUGUCUGUUAUGCUUAGGAUACUUGGGUUCCCUACCUAUGUUGAAGAUCAUGUUUGAUCUUUGAUUGUCGUUCAUGUGGUGUAUUUUGCUUAAGCACUCUUAUUGAUGUUAUCCAUGCUUCCCACCUUGCUUGUUGUUGAUGUAUAUAUGCUUGGUGAGGAAGAGUGUAAAGCACGAAGGGUGGUGCCGUAUAUUUUGUUUACAUUAUCAUGUGAGGAUGAGAGUAAAGGAAUGAAGGGUGAUGAUGUGACAUUGGUUAAAAGCAUGAAGGGUGAUGUCGUGCCAUUAUUUCACAUUAUCAAGUGAGAAAGAGAGUAAAAUCACGAAGGGUGAUGCAGUGUAAUUAUUUUAUAUUAUAAUAUGUGGAUGAGAGUUCAUGGCACGAAGGGUAUUUCCGUGCAGGUGAGGAUUAGAGUCAUGCAUUAUAUGUGUUAUCUUUUCCAUGCGUAUAAAUUUAUGUCUUUAUCUUAAGUUGUUAUUGCCGCACCUAUGCUUUUUACUUUGCUUGAUUGUAGUCACGACUUUACCUUUUACCUUAUUUGUUUUUGUUCUAUCCAUGUCGUCUAUUUAUAUUUCACUGUUAUAUUCAUUAUGUCCUUCUUGUUUGUUAUACCUACAUCUAUGCUUCAUCUCUCAUUUGUUGUGGUUUCAUCUAAACCUCCUACCUUGCUAACUAUUGAAAUCUAUAUUCUUCUACCUUAUUUUCUAUCAUUACUGUGGUGCCUCCUACCUUGUCUGUUACUUUUAUCCUCCUGCUUCUACCUUGUUUGUUACUACUGUGUGUGUGUUUCCUACUACGCCAAGGCCAGUUUCCACACAUAAGUCCGAGUACGUACUCGUCACCUCGCGUACACGGACUACAAUCAGCAUAGAAGACUCAAAUCCUAAGGGAUAGUUCCCCCACAUAAGAUUAGGCAAGAUAUUUAUCUCAAAGCAGACACACCGAUACUCAAAAAGGAACUUCUCAGGUGAAAUGGCCUCCGGAGGGCUCAAAUCUAACCAAAAUAACUUCAAAGUACAAAUUAAACUCAUACAAAACUAUUCUGGAUCAUAAAGCCUAAAUCUUUAUCAAAAUCUAAAAAUCGACCCAAAAGUUGACCCCCGGGCCCGCACCUCGGAACCCGACAAUUUUUACAAAUCCGAACACCCAUUCUGAUACGAGUUCAACCACACUAAAAUUAUCAAAUUUUGAUACCAAUUCGCCCCUCAAAUCAUGAUUUUUCAUUUGAAAGUUUUCUUCCAAAAUUCCCAUUUUCCUCAACUCAAAAUACAAAUUAAAUGAUAAAAAUAAAGAUAAAAUUAUGGAAUAUAAUAAAUUCUAGGUGAAGAACACUUACCCAAUCGAUUUUUUUGAAAAACCCACAAAGACUCGCUCAAAACCGAGCUCUACAAGUCAAGAUAUGAUAAAUAUGGUCUAACCCUUGAUUUGGAAGAUAUAUUCUGCUGCCCAGGCAUUAAGGCAUCGCGAACGCGGAAGAAGGAUCGUGUUCACGAAGAAGAAAAGGAUGCUACCCAGUUUAUGCUUCGCGACCGCGACAACCUGCCCGCGAAAGCGGAGAAGAAAAGUAUGAUGGCCCAACGACUGCUAUUCGCGAACGCGUGAAGUAGUACGCGAACGCGAAGGGUGGAAUGGCAUAACUACGCGAAUGCAAACGCGAAGAAGGGAAGGGCUGGUUUCCGCGUUCGUCAGAGGAGGCAUGCGAACGCGAAGAAAAAAUAUUCCUUCCUCCAAAAUUACUCUUCACGAACGUGGAGGAACAGAUGCGAACCCAAAGGAGUAAAUCAGAUGACAGAUUCAGCAGUUCAAAAUAGAAGAAAAUAGCAUGUAAACCAUCAGAAACACACCCGAGGCCCCGAGANNNNNNNNNNNNNNNNNNNNNNNNACUUAUGAACUUCAAUUCUUCCAACUUCUAAAACUCGCGCAGAAACCUAUCAAAUCAACAAGGAAUGACGUCAAAUUUUGCAAGCAAGUCCCAAAUAACAUAACGGAGUUGUUCCAACUCUCGGAAUCGAAUUUUGACCCCGAUAUCGCCAAAGUCAACUCUUUGUCAAACCUCUCAACCUUCAAAACUUUAACUUUUCCAAUUUUCGCCGAAAUGCUCCAAAUUACCCUACGGACCUCCAAAUCCAAAUUCAGACGCAUGCCUAAAUCCAAAAUCACCAUACCAAGUUAUUGGAAUCAUCCAAAAACCAUUCCGGAGCUGUUUACACAAAAGUCAUAUUCCAGCCAACUCUCACCGCUUAAGCUUUCAAAAGUUGAAUCCGUCUUCCGAUUUGACUCAGAAUCAUCCGGUAACUGAAUCCAACCAUGCAUGCAAGUCGAUACAUAUAAUACGAAGCUGCCCAGGACAUUAUACCGCCGAACGGGACUUAAAUUGUCAAAACGAUCGCGGCCGGGUCGUUACAUUCUCUUCCUCUUAAACAAACAUUCGUCCUCGAACGUGCUAAGAAUCGCCUCGAAGUCAUCAAUUUACUGAAUGCAUAUAUCCAACAUACACCUACGGGUGACUCCACGUCACCCCAAUCCACAUAAGCCUGACGACACCAUCUCAACUAUAAUUUAUCCUUUCUACCAACACCGAUAAGCCUUAGAGUCAAAAUUCUCACCUUUCGUUCAUCUCCAAAAGACCCGAUUCUAAAUUCAUACCUGGUAUCAAUCUCAACCAGCUACAACAACUCAUGUCUACACCCACAAGGUACGACCACCCAACAUGAUACACCACACAUAGGCCCAUAAUAACAUUUCUGAUCACAAUAGUUGCCCGUAAUAAAAACCAACACCGGCAAUUAGCCUCAUAUCCGUUAGAAACCCGUUUCAAACCUCCACAAUGCUGAAAAUUGUUGAUACUCAAUUUUAUCCUCCCUUUACUCCAAUUUAUUUUCGUGGGCAGUCAUGGCCGCAAAAAUAUAUAUAUAUAUAUAACAUAUUUUAAAUUAUUAUUAAAGCAUUACCAUAUUUUUUCACGGCCUGCGCCAUAUUUUAUUAGUGUAUUACAAAUUACUUUUCAUGUUUUAUUAGUUAAUCUUACUAUUAUGGUUUUUAUUAUUUUGACUAUUAUUGUUAUUAUUAUUUCCAUCACCAUUUACUAAAAGAAUUUUUAUUCUUAAUAUUAGUUGUUGAGUCACUAUUUAAAAUAUGUUUUUUUAUGACAAAUAGAUAUGCUUUAUUUUCUUAUAAUCAUAGAAUAUUUACUAUAUUAAAUUAUUUAUUUAUUUUAAAUAUUUUACUAAUAUCUUACGUUAUUAUUUUUUAUACUUCUAGUUAAUCAUUUAUUUUAAUUAUUAAUAUAUUAAUUAGAAGCCCAAUUUUUAAAGACCCUUUUUAUCCAUUUCGUAGCCCAACCUGCUAGCCCAAAUCCUAGUCCAAUUAACCCCAAAAUCAAUCCCCAUACCAUAGUAAACAUUUCCCUAAUCCCUUUCCAUGAGCCCCUUCAUCCUAAACCAUCAGAACCGAUGUCAAAGUUUUAACUUUCCUUCUUUUUGUUACUUUGUUUCCACACAUUCUUGUACCCAUUUAGCCCCUAAUUUUACGCCCCACUCCCUCCCCAAAUUGCAAAAUCAAGAUCUCUUUCUCCUCCUCUUUGUGUUUCCAGAACAUAUGGAGAAGAUAUUGUGGAAAUCAAGGGAGGAAUUAGUCCAAGUUCAAUGUAUCACAAGAUAAGUAGAAUAUAUUUUUCCGGAUUUAUUGUUUAACGGAUUUGGUUCUCUUUCUUAUCAAUUUGAUUUUAAAAAUCUCAAUCUUGUAUGUUUUCUUCUUUUUAAAAGCUUUCCUUUCCUAACCUGAAUUUUUGGCUCUAUUCAUAUAUGGCCGAAUUUGAGUAAAUUUCUGACGCUUUUCUAUAUAGACUAAAUCACUUUCUUUCCAAAGUUGAACCUCCAACUUUUGGUAAUUGAUUCUGUCAAAAUUUUAUUCUUUACUAAUUAGCAACCUUAAAUUUCGUCUGUUUUACCUUUUAUAAUUUAGAGGCUUGGUAAUGCCUUAGCUAUAAAUAUCCUAUUGUUAAGACCAUAGAGGGGGGGACUUCGGACAAUGACUUAUUCACAAACAUUAUAACUUUCUUAUUAAGAUUUGUUACACGAAUUGCUUCUACUAUUCGUGUAACAAAGUCGACGGGAAGUUGCGGCAAAGCUUGUUGCUUUUCAUUCCUCUCGAUUUGGAUUCUUUCUUGUUGCUGCUGUUCGAAGUUUAUCGUUGCGAUAUUUGGUCUAUUUUACUGUUGAAACUUUGUUCGUGGACUAUUCAUUUGGAUUUCUGGUUUUCUUAUUAAUUCGGCACGUCGCGAACUGGUUAGUCUCCUCAACAAUGCAUUCAAUUCCUAUGUGUUAGUUGGUUGUAGAGUAAUUUAGUUUCUUCCAAAUUUUUGUAUCGCGUAAAUUUCUAUGUAUGUUUAUACCCCUGACUAUGUUGAGUGUCGGGCGACACUCUAUUUUAAAGCAGGCCAAAUUAAAGACCAGGUAUGUAUUCUGAUCUUAGUGUGCUUUUAUUCUCUUUGUUGGUUUAUGGCUCUUUUGGACGUAAAAAGCAUGUUUUAGAGAUAAGUUUAUAGACACCAAUCGGAGAUUAUGUUUUUAGGAGAUCACUGAUAAUUGAUUAUUAAGUGGAUUGAUCAUGUUAAAAUUCUUUUGUCAGAGAAUAUUAGAUCAGCAGUAUGUUUGGUGUGUGUUUUUGUAUACCUGACACUAAUGCUAUUGGGUUUUGAGACAACUUGAGAAGUCAGCGGGGAAUCUGGAAAGUAAUUUUAUCCAUGUUAUAAUUUUCAUUCAACUUGGAUUUUGUUUUUUUUUUCCUUUUAAUGAAAAACUUCUAAUUUCCUUUUAAAAAAAUGCAUAUCUAGUCAUAUACUUGCUUGAAAUUGGCCCAACAGUGUUGUAUGAAAUUUUUAUAGCCUAUCUCAAAUAUUACUUUAAGCUUUAGCUCUUGUAUCAAUUAUCCUAUUUUGCAGUGCACUUUCUUCUACCAUUGUUUUAUACUUGGUUAUCAAAUUAACGACAUUAUUACCCAUUUUAGUGAGCCACUUAAUACUUUUAAUCACCUUAACUAGUUCGGAGGCCAACAUGAGCCCUUACUUGUCUUAUGUGUAACUUGUCCAAUGUGCUCGUUUUAUGUGACGCUAAUAAGGAUAGAAAUUGAAACUUGAGAUUUUCUUUUAAGUCUAGAACCAUCCCUUUAGAAUAGUGUCCAAAGCCUCCUGGACUAUAAGAAUGGGGCGGGUAGGCUUACUAAUGCACGAUUUAGAAUUAAUUAGUGCGCUUUAAGUAACGACUUAAAGAUAGUAACGAGGGUAGCGGACAUGAUGCACAAAUUGCCCGAAUAGCCAUUACACUUUUGGCUAUAGAAGUCUUAGUAGGCUUUGCACGAGAGUUGAUCCAUUGUAUUCCUAUCGUGAUUUCUUCCUUUUGCAUAUUACUACGUGCGGAGAAGCGAGGUCCUAUCCUCCUAGUUUAUAUUUAACUUAUACAUAUGUCCCUAUAGAGAGAUUUUGUAUUUUCUUUAUUAAUUAUUAAUUAAAAAUCUGUCCAUGUCAUCCUGUCGUCUUUUCGUAUAAUAUAUAUUUUUCUUAUAAAAAGAUUUGCUUUUUUCCUAAUGAAUGUUUUUGGUCGUCCAAAUUACUAUCUUUUCUUUGAUCUUUUUUCUAUAGUUUUGCUCAUGUAGAAUAAUUGAUACAUAACUUGUUUAUUCGACCACUUAGACCAUUUAGAGUAAAUCUGAAUCACAUAGAUCCCACAUAGUUUAAAAUUCGGCUGGGAACCACAUUUGUAGACCUUGAAGAGUGCCUAACACCUUCUCUUCGAGGUAACUUGAACCUUUAUCCGAUCUUUAGUGAUGAAGACUAGUUAACUCAGAGUUACUUGUAAAUAGGCGCUCUAACGCACCUUAAACCCUUAGGUGGCGACUCUUCUCUUUUAAUACCUCUUCAUUUAAAAGAGUUGUCACAUGUCGAAAUUUACUUUCGCGAGAAAAUGGGGCGCGACAACAAUGAUGCAAGAAACAUGAAGACCUCAUAGUUAUACGCCCGAAUCAACAAGUCACAUCUAACGCCACCGGGCACACACACCGUAAGCUAAAACUCAAAUAAGCACAAGACGAAAACGACUGAAUAUGUAAGGAGAAGCACAUAAGAGAAAUAUCAAACAAGCCAGAGAUACACAACUCUCUAUCAGUAUCAUACUCCGAAUCAAUUUACAAGGAAAAAUCAAAGUGUGUGAACAAAUCACAAGGAUCUCAUCCUGAUAUAACUUUCACUGCGGCACACGACCCUGUUCAAACAUAUCAAAUCACAUAAAAUCGCGAGGGUCUCACCCUAGACUCUGAAUCACAAGUCGAAUACACAUCUUACCAAUUGAAACCUUCCACUAAUUCAACUCUGCCAAUAAAAUCACAACACUUUACUGAACUCUCACCCCGACAGAGCAUCUAAAUCACAACUCGUAACCAAAAUUAAUCAGGAAUCACAUAAAAACCUAUCGUAAUGGACAACAUGAAUUCACUUCGAGUCUCGUAACUCUCAAUAAUGAAUAAAAACAAUGGUAGACACGGGCUACCACUCAUAGAAUCUCCCGACAGGGUAAACACAUAAGCAGAAUACUAAAUCAUGAACUCUCCCAUAGGUGAGGCAACAAAUAGGAGGACUCAUCCCGAUAAGCAGAACUGAAACAAAAUAUGGGUGGUGCUCCUCCAUAACAAAUCAAAAACAUACCUGUGUGACAUCAUCUGACGCAGCGACCUCAAGCCUACUAUAUGAAACACAUUAACAGGUCAGGCCUCCCCCUCUUAGGUGCCCUCUACUUGCCUGAAUACCCCACUGUGACACACUUGUCCGGAGGCUAAGACAAUCUAACCAUAUGGCUGGUAUCUCCACACUCGAAGCAACCUCUCUGCUGACGUGGCUGUGGGAACUGUGUGGCACGGGUACUUUGAGACCCAUGAGCACCUGAAACAUUAUGCGAAGCCUGAAGUGCAAACUGAAUUGGCUGACCCACAAAACCUCUACCAUGUCGUACCUUGCCUUCAAAAUAAGGACCAGUAGAUCUCUCUAGUCUACGAGGCCUCCUCGUCUCCCUGUCCUCUCUCUCCUGACCUCGCCUGUCCUUUCUCUCUUGGUCCUACCUAUCCUCUCUCUCCUAGUCCCACAUGCCCUUUACUCGGCGGGCUAUCCCUACCACCUACUGAAACGAAACAUUUGACUCUAACUCCCGAGCCAUGUUGAACCGAAUAUCAUGCCUGAGCCUCUCAAUGAAUCUACGGACACGCUCUCUAACUGUAGCGACCAAAGUAGGUGCAUAUCUGGCUAAAUCACUGAAUCUAACGGCAUACUCUGAUACUGACAUAGUGCCCUAGCGCAACUGCUCAAACUCCGCGCGCCAUGCAUCGCGAAGGGAUUGGGGUACAAACUCUCUCAGGAACAUCUCUGAAAACUGAACCCAUGUGAGUGAAGCUGACUCGGCCAGGCUACCCAACUCAUACGCCCUCCACCACUGAUAAGCCGCUCCCCUGAGCUGGAACAUAGUAAAAGCAACCUGGCUCACCUCCACAAUAUCCAUAGUACGGAGAAUGCGGUGACACUCCUUCAGAAAACUCUGGCAUCAUCUAUCGCCAAUCCAGUGAAGGUAGGAGGGUGGUACUUCUUGUACCUCUCAAGUCUAAGUUGUUCUUCCUCAGAUGCUGCUGCCCUAACCACGGGCUGAACUAGAACCACAGGCUAUGUCGCCAUGACACCUGGAACCUGAACAACAUAAACUCGUUGCUCUGUAGUGUAGGCGACGGGAGUUUGAGCUCCUCCCCCGGUCUGUGAAGUAGCUGGUGCAACCGGAAACAACCCCGCCUGAACCAAUAUACCAAACAUGCUUAGGAGUUGUGCUAAGGUCUCCUGAAGUCCGGGGGUAACAGUAGGUGCCUCCGGUACCUGUCCCCCAACCGGAGCUACUGGCGGCUCCUCAACUGCUGUUCUGGUCGAUGCUCUAGCUGCGACACGUGCUCCUCUUCAGCCUCUACCUCUUCCCCUAGCGACACUUGCUCUGAGGGCAGCGUCAUCAGUAACUGCAGCUCGUAUCCUCACCAUCUGUGAGAGAAUGGAAUGAUAAAAGCUUCAAACUUUGAGAUAAAUAAACUCGCACUAUAAGAAUGAAGGAAGUGAAACUGUCCUAAUAGUUCCGUAGCCUCUCAAAGAUAAGUACAGACGUCUCCGUACCGAUCCGCAAGACACUACUAAACUCGUUUAUGACUUGUAGCACCUAUGAACCUAGAGCUCUUAUACCAACUUGUCACGACCCAAUUUCCCCUCCGUUGGGUAUCGUGAUGGAAACUAGUCUUAGGGACUAGGUAAGCCUAUUAUCAUCUGAAUAACAACGAUAAUAAAGUAACAUCUAAUAAUUUCUUUAAUGGAAUUCUCUAUACAAAUUUACAAUUCCCAAAACCGGUAGUACAAGUCAUAAGCUCUACAGAAUUUUGCUAUAAUUUUCUAAAUACAACUGUUUGAAGUAAAGUAAACAGUAUGAAUACAAAUCAGAAGGUGACUCUGAAGCCUGCAAACUCAGCAACAGGUUUACCUUGAGUCUCCGCAGCAACAAUCCGCACAGUUAGCUAAUGAUCAACUGACUUCGAAAUAUCUGGAUCUGCACAACACUAUGCAAAAGUGUAGUAUGAGUACACCACAGUGGUACCCAGCAAGUAUCAAGACUAACCUCAGUUGAGUAGUGACGAGGAACAGUCAAGACACCUACUGGACUAAAUAACCUGAACAAGUGUAAGUAUAGGAACAACAAAGUAUGGUAUAUAUAUAAAGACUAUGCGAAAUGGAAAAUAAUACAGUAAUCGCAGUAAGAAAAGAAAACAACAACUAUCAGCGGAAAUAAAAUAAUAAUGACAUAGAAGAAUGAACGGCAACACAACCUAAAUUCGGUAAACACAGAUAAGGAAAGGACAAGUAAUAACUCAACAAAAACGACCGCUUUCACAUCAGAUUUUAGUCAAUAAACUCCACGAGGUACCAAACCUCAGACUAUUCACACUCAUGGGUCCCAAUAUCUGAACCCUAACAUUUGGCAUCAUGUGCCCUCAUUACACUUCAUAACCGCAUUGACGACUCACGUGCUAAAUAGAGUCAUUCUCACAUAAAAGGCAAGUAAACAAGGGUGUACAUCUAUACUCAGAAAUAUCAAGAAUCCUCUUAACCGAUAAGAGUGCUUAACUACGUGUAUGCUUGUGCAAGUGUUCUAAUAUAGUUCAUACCAGCUAGUAAGCACAAGAAAAGAAACAGACAACAUACAGAAUAUUUUCUCACAACUUUCACAAGAUAAAGCUCACACAGGUAAGUGUACCACUACACAAAUAUCAGCAACAAUAAUGCCCCCAGGCCAUCACAAAUCAAUCCCUGACAUAGCCCACCUUGCCUCACCACGUGUGCAAUAAUAAAGUAUAUGCCCGCCUUGUCUCACCACAUGCGCAACCCACAUAUAUAUAGCCCGCCUUGUCACGCCGCAUGUGCAAAUAUCAAUAGUAACAAUAGCACGACAGAAAUCUCGUGCAACCCCAUAACAACAACCGCAAGGAAGAAAGCCUGUGCAUCACAAUAACAACAACCGCACGGCAGAAACCUCGUGCAUCACCACAACAAGUACAAUAACAACAAUGACAAUAAUAUAAAGUACGAGUCAAAUAAUUCCAAAUAAGGGUAGGUCAACUAAGGCAUAGGAUAUCUAAGCUUCUUUUAAGGUUGGGCAAUUACGAAAGAGAUAUGAAAAAUUCCAUUAAAGGUACACAACGGGAAGAUAACCAUAACCUCAAUUAAGGAUGAACAAUUACAAAAGAGAUAACUAUAACUUCAAAUAAAGAUAAGCAGUUAAGGGGAAUGAUAAUAUGGCAAUANAUGGCAAUAGAAGAGUUAACAGUUUCAAUUAAGGCACAUAUGAAUCAAAUAAAUAAUAAGAGUGGAUCAUGAAGCAAUUAGUUCUAAUUAAAGUAUGUAGAGGUGAAGCCAGUCAUUAAGGAACGUAUUCGUAACAAAACAAUUGCAUGCUCAAUGAACACAAGGACCUAAGAACCCUAAAAGGCCAAUUUUCAUACAUAAGUCCGAGUACGUACUCGUCACUUCGCGUACACGGACUACAAUAAGCAUGAAAUACUCAAAUCCUAAGGGGUAAUUCCCCCACACAAGGUUAGGCAAGAUACGUACCUCAAAGCAGACAGACCGAUACUCAAAAAUGAACUUCUCGGGUGAAAUGGCAUCCGGACGGCUCAAAUCUAACCAAAAUAACUUCAAAGCACAAAUAAAACUCAUAAGAAACUAUUCAGGAUCAUAAAGUCUUAAUCUUUAUCAAAAUCUAAAAAUCGACCCUAAAGUCGACCCCCGGGCCCGCAUCUCGGAACCCGACAAUUGUCACAAAUCCGAAUAAUAUUGUGUGGAGAUAGAAGAAGAAUAUAUUGAAGAAGAGUCGCUUGAUUUGAUGAUAUAUAUAGGAAAAGAAGCGCGUUACAGGACGCGCGACCAUAUGCAGUGCCCCCCCCCCCGGGACAAUAAUCAUUGCAGAAACAAGGAACGUUUUUCCUUGUUCUUUUUUUUUUGAAAUUAAGGAAUCUAUUCAUAAUCUUUUUUUGUUUUUUCCAUUACGUGUUGAAUCUAAGAGUUUACGAUUAAAGAAUAUGAUCAAUGCAGCUGCUUUAACCUUUGUUACUUUGUGAAGAUUAGCCGUCAAUAUAUUUUCAAAAAUAGUACAUAUAUGUAUUUGAAUUUUUCCUUUUUGAAAGGACUAAUUGUAUCUUUGCCCCUAAGAAAACUCUUACCUUAUCCCUCCCCCCACCCACAUAGUGUGAAGUACUCCUCUUCCCCUACACCACGACUAAUGACGUUUUCAUUAGCUAAAGGUAACAUAAUCUUAAUUAAAUGGAAGAUUACGCGCAUAUACUUGAUAUAGUCCACAUCAAAAUGGUGUAAGAAAUGACAUUACUAAUAUAGAAUCAUUCUGAUCAUUAAGAUGUAUCUCCAGAGGAGACUUGAGGUAUAACUGCACAGAGUCCGCAGUUCCGAAGUCCCCGUCUACUUUACUUUAGCUGUGUGUUUCCUUUCAGACAUCUUUAUUUUGUUCAGACCCUUAUUUGUAUUAUUCUAGAAGCUCGUGCACUUAUGACUUCAGUUUUGGGAUGAUAUUUAGAUAUCGCGAUUAUUAUGGAUUAUUCACUUGAUUUCAGACUUUAUUUUCGCAUUUGUUUCUUUGUUAUUAAUUUAUAUAAAAUGGUUUUAAAUGGCAAAUUAUAUUCUAACGUUGGCUUGCCUAGCAAGUGAAAUGUUAAGCGUCAUCACGGUCCCGUAAGUGGAUAUUUCGGGUCAUUGCCCAACCUUAAAAGAAGCUUAGAUUUCCUAUGCCUUAGUUGACAUACCCUUAUUUGGAAUUAUUUGACUCGUGUUAGUUUCCUUGUUGUUGAACCGUACAUUUUGGAACCGUUAUUACAUAUUGUUUCCUUCCCUGUUGAGCUGUUCUUACUAAGCCUAGUAUUCUUUAUUAUGGUUAUUCUUUGUGAACUAGUUCUACCGUUUCUCGUGAUCGAAGGUUAUUGAGUUGAUUUACUUGUCGUACUUUAUAUUAUUGUCAUUGUUGCUAUUGUACUUGUUGUGGUGAUGCACGAGGUUUCUGCCGUGCGGUUGUUGUUAUUGUGAUGCACGAGCUAUCUUCCUUGCGGUUGUUGUUAUGGGGUUGCACGAAAUUUCUGUCGUGCUAUUGUUACGAUUGAUAUUUGCACAUGCAGCAUGACAAGGCGGGCUAUAUAUAUGUGGGUUGCGCAUGUGGUGAGACAAGGCGGGCAUAUACUUUAUUAUUGCACACAUGGAGAGGCAAGGUGGGCUAUGUCAGGGAUUGAUUUGUGAUGGCCAGGGGGAAUUAUUGUUGUUGAUAUUUGUGUAGUGGUACACUUACCUGUACGAGCUUUAUCUUGUGAAAGUUGUGAGAAAACAUAAUCUUCAGGAUAUAAUACUUUCCAAAUCUUCCGAAAAUCAAACUCGACCACACCCGCGGGUCAUAAAACAUAUUACGAAACUGCUCGAGACCUUAAGUCACUGAACGCGGCAUUAAUUCAUAAAACGACAAGUCGAGUCGUUACAGGGCCGCAUUCAUAACAUAAUCUCUUUAAUCAUAUCCUUUC
Molecule: long non-coding RNA, 29784 nt
Filed under: Nicotiana tabacum (common tobacco)
Lineage: Eukaryota; Viridiplantae; Streptophyta; Magnoliopsida; Solanales; Solanaceae
Description: long non-coding RNA (NTAB_LNC001746)
Source: RNAcentral